Novosphingobium sp. Fuku2-ISO-50 is the source of this 73-nucleotide transfer RNA. It matches the Rfam family "tRNA". Rfam says of the family: Transfer RNA (tRNA) molecules are approximately 80 nucleotides in length. Lineage: Bacteria; Pseudomonadati; Pseudomonadota; Alphaproteobacteria; Sphingomonadales; Sphingomonadaceae. The record is from Rfam.
GGGCCCAUAGCUCAGUCGGUAGAGCAACUGACUUUUAAUCAGUAGGUCGCUGGUUCGAAUCCAGCUGGGCUCA